This 301-nucleotide ribosomal RNA is filed under the name uncultured bacterium. RNAcentral's name for it is "partial 16S ribosomal RNA". It matches the Rfam family "Bacterial small subunit ribosomal RNA", at positions 509 to 807 of the family's 1533-position model. The record is from RNAcentral.
CAGUCGCCGCGGUAAUACGUAGGGUGCAAGCGUUAAUCGGAAUUACUGGGCGUAAAGCGUGCGCAGGCGGUUUUGUAAGACAGAGGUGAAAUCCCCGGGCUCAACCUGGGAACUGCCUUUGUGACUGCAAGGCUAGAGUACGGCAGAGGGGGAUGGAAUUCCGCGUGUAGCAGUGAAAUGCGUAGAUAUGCGGAGGAACACCGAUGGCGAAGGCAAUCCCCUGGGCCUGUACUGACGCUCAUGCACGAAAGCGUGGGGAGCAAACAGGAUUAGAGACCCCUGUAGUCCCUGUCUCUUAUAC